This 506-nucleotide ribosomal RNA is filed under the name uncultured bacterium. RNAcentral describes it as "partial 16S ribosomal RNA". It matches the Rfam family "Bacterial small subunit ribosomal RNA", at positions 29 to 523 of the family's 1533-position model. The record is from RNAcentral.
AUUGAACGCUGGCGGCAGGCCUAACACAUGCAAGUCGGACGGUAGCACAGAGGAGCUUGCUCCUCGGGUGACGAGUGGCGGACGGGUGAGUAAUGUCUGGGGAUCUGCCCGAUAGAGGGGGAUAACCACUGGAAACGGUGGCUAAUACCGCAUAACGUCGCAAGACCAAAGAGGGGGACCUUCGGGCCUCUCACUAUCGGACGAACCCAGAUGGGAUUAGCUAGCAGGCGGGGUAACGGCCCACCUAGGCGACGAUCCCUAGCUGGUCUGAGAGGAUGGCCAGCAACACUGGAACUGAGACACGGUGCAGCGUCCUACGGGAGGCAGUAGUGGGGAAUUUUGAACAGUGGGCGCAAGCCUGAUGCAGCCAUGCCGCGUGUAUGAAGAAGGCGUUCGGGUUGUAAAGUACUUUCAGCGGGGAGGAAGGCGAUGUGGUUAAUAACCGCAUUGAUUGACGUUACCCGCAGAAGAAGCACCGGCUAACUCCGUGCAAGCCGCCGCCGUAA